UACGAAGGGUGCAAGCGUUACUCGGAAUUACUGGGCGUAAAGCGUGCGUAGGUGGUUCGUUAAGUCUGUCGUGAAAGCCCCGGGCUCAACCUGGGAAUGGCGAUGGAUACUGGCGGGCUAGAGUGCGGUAGAGGGUGGUGGAAUUCCCGGUGUAGCAGUGAAAUGCGUAGAGAUGCGGAGGAACACCGAUGGCGAAGGCAGCCCCCUGGGCUAACACUGACGCUCAGGCACGAAAGCGUGGGGAGCAAACAGG
This 253-nucleotide ribosomal RNA is filed under the name uncultured bacterium. Its description in RNAcentral is "partial 16S ribosomal RNA". It matches the Rfam family "Bacterial small subunit ribosomal RNA", at positions 524 to 776 of the family's 1533-position model. The record is from RNAcentral.